AUUGAACGCUGGCGGCAGGCCUAACACAUGCAAGUCGAACGGUAACAGGAAGCAGCUUGCUGCUUCGCUGACGAGUGGCGGACGGGUGAGUAAUGUCUGGGAAGCUGCCUGAUGGAGGGGGAUAACUACUGGAAACGGUAGCUAAUACCGCAUAAUGUCGCAAGACCAAAGAGGGGGACCUUCGGGCCUCUUGCCAUCGGAUGUGCCCAGAUGGGAUUAGCUUGUUGGUGGGGUAACGACUCACCAAGGCGACGAUCCCUAGCUGGUCUGAGAGGAUGACCAGCCACACUGGGACUGAGACACGGUCCAGACUCCUACGGGAGGCAGCAGUGGGGAAUAUUGCACAAAGGGCGCAAGCCUGAUGCAGCCAUGCCGCGUGUAUGAAGAAGGCCUUCGGGUUGUAAAGUACUUUCAGCGGGGAGGAAGGGAGUAAAGUUAAUACCUUUGCUCAUUGACGUUACCCGCAGAAGAAGCACCGGCUAACUCCGUG
This 490-nucleotide ribosomal RNA is filed under the name uncultured bacterium. RNAcentral describes it as "partial 16S ribosomal RNA". It matches the Rfam family "Bacterial small subunit ribosomal RNA", at positions 30 to 507 of the family's 1533-position model. The record is from RNAcentral.